Molecule: ribosomal RNA, 411 nt
Filed under: uncultured bacterium
Lineage: Bacteria
Description: bacterial SSU rRNA
Rfam family: Bacterial small subunit ribosomal RNA
Source: RNAcentral
GUGCCAGCAGCCGCGGUGAUACGGAGGGGGCAAGCGUUGUUCGGAAUUACUGGGCGUAAAGGGCGCGUAGGCGGCGAUCUUAGUCAGGCGUGAAAGCCCCGGGCUUAACCUGGGAACUGCGCUUGAUACUGGGUUGCUAGAGUGCGGGAGAGGAUGGUGGAAUUCCCAGUGUAGAGGUGAAAUUCGUAGAUAUUGGGAAGAACACCGGUGGCGAAGGCGGCCAUCUGGACGGUGACUGACGCUGAGAUGCGAAAGCGUGGGGAGCAAACAGGAUUAGAUACCCUGGUAGUCCACGCUGUAAACGUUGGGUGCUAGGUGUCGCGGGUAUUGACCCCUGCGGUGCCGACGCUAACGCAUUUAGCACCCGCCUGGGGAGUACGGCGCAAGGCUAAAACUCAAAUGAAUUGACGG